This 253-nucleotide ribosomal RNA is filed under the name uncultured bacterium. Its description in RNAcentral is "partial 16S ribosomal RNA". It matches the Rfam family "Bacterial small subunit ribosomal RNA", at positions 524 to 776 of the family's 1533-position model. The record is from RNAcentral.
UACAGAGGUCCCAAGCGUUGUUCGGAUUCAUUGGGCGUAAAGGGCGCGUAGGCGGCGCGGUAAGUCGGGUGUGAAAUCUCGGAGCUUAACUCCGAAACUGCAUUCGAUACUGCCGUGCUUGAGGACUGGAGAGGAGACUGGAAUUUACGGUGUAGCGGUGAAAUGCGUUGAUAUCGGAAGGAACGCCGGUGGCGAAAGCGCGCUGCUGGACCUCUUCUGACGCUGAGGCGCGAGAGCUAGGGGAGCGAACGGG